This 670-nucleotide long non-coding RNA is filed under the name Sparus aurata (gilthead seabream). Its description in RNAcentral is "lncRNA (ENSSAUG00010015073.1)". The record is from RNAcentral. Lineage: Eukaryota; Metazoa; Chordata; Actinopteri; Spariformes; Sparidae.
GUGCACACUAUCUCAUUGGACAGCAGCGUUGUCCAUCACACACUCUGCAUUGUGAUUGGUUGGUUGAUUUUGAAGACUCGCUGUACAGAAAGAUAGCUGGGAGCGAAAACAAAACACACAUAUGGACCUCGAAAAAGAAGAAAGAAAUGUUCAGCAGGAACAAAAAAAAAGAGAUGGCCAAAAGACUGCGCUAUCCACUGAAGAUGAUAUCAGCUAGACCCUGGCUCACCCAAGGAUGACCAAAAUGGUACAUCAUGCACUAUGGCACAUGGGAUGGAUGGGCAUCGGUUGAGAAGGCAUUUGGUGAGGUGAUCAUGGUCAAAGAAGUCCUCAUACACAAAUACUGCUGAAAGAUUAAAGUAAUGAAAUGCUCUGCAUUGUUGUGCAGCUGUGUGGAACACUGUUAGACACUUCUUUUAAGAAGUUUCACUGAGAAGAGACACAUUAAUAAACUGUCUUUACACUACCAGCUGAAAUAGUCAGUUGUUACAGGUUGGUUAAGGCAAUCUGCAUUUUUUUCUGAAGACAUCACUGUUGUCAGAAAUGUUAAAUGUUAUCAUGAUUCUGUGCAAACUGUGCUUUAUAAAGUGCUGCUGUGUUGUAUACUAAAGAUGGUGAUUUGAAUAAAGGUCUUUUUUCAUUUCAUUGCUCAUUUUUGUUUCCAAAGGAG